AGUGAACGCUGGCGGUAGGCCUAACACAUGCAAGUCGAACGGCAGCACAGGAGAGCUUGCUCUCUGGGUGGCGAGUGGCGGACGGGUGAGGAAUACAUCGGAAUCUACUUUUUCGUGGGGGAUGACGUAGGGAAACUUACGCUAAUACCGCAUACGACCUACGGGUGAAAGCAGGGGAUCUUCGGACCUUGCGCGAUUGAAUGAGCCGAUGUCGGAUUAGCUAGUUGGCGGGGUAAAGGCCCACCAAGCCGACGAUCCGUAGCUGGUCUGAGAGGAUGAUCAGCCACACUGGAACGGAGACACGGUCCAGACUCCUACGGGAGGCAGCAGUGGGGAAUAUUGGACAAUGGGCGCAAGCCUGAUCCAGCCAUACCGCGUGGGUGAAGAAGGCCUUCGGGUUGUAAAGCCCUUUUGUUGGGAAAGAAAUCCAGCUGGUUAAUACCCGGUUGGGAUGACGGUACCCAAAGAAUAAGCACCGGCUAACUUCGUGCCAGCAGCCGCAGUAA
Molecule: ribosomal RNA, 506 nt
Filed under: uncultured bacterium
Lineage: Bacteria
Description: partial 16S ribosomal RNA
Rfam family: Bacterial small subunit ribosomal RNA
Source: RNAcentral